GGAGCAUGCGGCUUAAUUCGACGCAACGCGAAGAACCUUCCCAAGGCUUGACAUAUAGGGAAAAGUGGCAGAGAUGUCAUGUCCGCAAGGGCUCUAUACAGGUGGUGCAUGGUUGUCGUCAGCUCGUGUCGUGAGAUGUUGGGUUAAGUCCCGCAACGAGCGCAACCCUCGUUCUGUGUUGCCAGCAUUUAGUUGGGGACUCACAGGAGACUGCCGGGGUUAACUCGGAGGAAGGUGGGGAUGACGUCAAAUCAUCAUGCCCCUUAUGUCUUGGGCUGCACGCAUGCUACAAUGGCCGGUACAGAGGGCUGCAAUACCGUAAGGUGGAGCGAAUCCCAAAAAGCCGGUCUCAGUUCGGAUUGAGGUCUGCAACUCGACCUCAUGAAGUUGGAGUUGCUAGUAAUCGUAGAUCAGCAUCGCUACGGUGAAUACGUUCCCGGGGCUUGUACACACCGCCCGUCACGUCACGAAAGUCGGUAACACCCAAAAGUCAGUGGCCCAACCGCAAGGGGG
RNAcentral lists this ribosomal RNA (513 nucleotides) under uncultured Actinomycetes bacterium. RNAcentral describes it as "bacterial SSU rRNA". It matches the Rfam family "Bacterial small subunit ribosomal RNA", at positions 934 to 1449 of the family's 1533-position model. Lineage: Bacteria; Bacillati; Actinomycetota; Actinomycetes. The record is from RNAcentral.